Rhincodon typus (whale shark) is the source of this 2130-nucleotide long non-coding RNA. RefSeq lists it as uncharacterized. NCBI's taxonomy places the organism in Eukaryota, Metazoa, Chordata, Chondrichthyes, Orectolobiformes, Rhincodontidae. The transcript is spliced from 2 exons. The record is from RefSeq and is a predicted model, not a curated record.
UGAGUGGCAGAGCCAGCCCAGGAGCAGCUGAUUGGGCAGUGAGCCUGGAAUAGGCCGGCCCUGCAGUAACCACAUCCAUUGAAUGGCUACUCCAGUGACUCCUCUCCGCCCUUCAGAACUUCUUCGAUUUCCAGCCUCUCCCGCCACAACCUCUUCUCUGUGUCUCCCCCUACCCCCACUCUCUCUCUCUCACGCACAUACACAGAACCCUGAUGGGUAAUAAACAGCAGCCAGAGGCUGGAUGCAAUCUGGAAAUUACAAGGUUGUUGGGGGGUGGGGGGAAUCCCUGUGGCCGGCAGAGCUUUCUGAAAUAUUAACAUUUUCAGGAGGCACGGAGUAUGGGCUAAUCUAUGUGACGUACGUGCAGCAACCUUUGGCCCCCCCUUUUUUAAAAACAAUUCUCCCCCCUCACCAAGUUAUAACUUUAUUUAUGAGGGCAGUUGUGGUGGGCUGCUGGCUGCAAUUUUCACAAAGUGAUUGAAGUCUUUUCUCGUCCGGGGUAGGGAGCAUCAAGUUCACCACAACAUGGAAACUCCACGUGUUCGCCAGAACUCUGCAAAAUGCGUUCUGGUGAAGUGUGGGAUUACGUCUGAACAUCACCCAGUUCCAAAAAGAAAACUAUCCUCACCGGAAAGGAGAUUGCUGAAGGACAAAGUUUAAAGGAGAAAAGAAGAGGAGCCGUUGCUCGGAUUUGAACGGAAAAAAAAUAAGAUGGCUUUUUUUUCUUAUUUUCUAAACGUGCAAAUAGACGGAAGGCAGCUGGAAGGUGGUGGCCCAAGACUGGGAGGAUUCUGCAAAAGCUGGAGGAGAAGGAACGAGUGGGUUGAAGAAUCGUGAAAAUAAGUCGGACGUGCUGUGAAUUGAAUGUUGAUUUUUAAAAAAGGAACCACUCGAGGUGAAAAUGUGACUAUGGUGAAAUGCGGUUAAAAUCCGGCAAAAAAGUGAGAAAAUGGAAGGUAACACUCCUCCAUUGUCCUUCUUCCAAAACCGCAGCAGCUACCUUGUUGAUAAAGGCGCUAGAGCCGAGUUCACUGGGCACGCCGCCUCACUAACACCGCUUCUGCUUUAGAACAAAAGAGCACAUGGCAUUACAAGGAGAGGCACAGAGACCUCGUUUAAUCAAACCAUCAAAACCUUGUUUAUUUUUGACGCAGUGCAUUAUUCAUGUUAAAAUAACGUAGUUAAUUAAGACAGGGUGGAGGAAAUCAACUUUAAAACUUGGGGAUAUAUGAGAAAGUAGUUUGUUCGCUCUCUGGAUGACGAGACGGGUAACUUUGAAGUGAAAUCGGAUCUAUUGAUGUAAUACUUCAAACCGAAAAGGUUGCUAGAUUCCUCUGCCUUUAUAGCGCCGUUUACAAUUGUUAAAGGGCUAUAAAAUAUAAAAUCCCUACAUUAAUCGGUACUGAUACUAUCUUCGGGGUUUUAUUCUGCGCCCGCCAUGUGUUUGGAACCGUGUAAAAACAUGUCUAACACAAACAUUAUAAUGAAGCUCCAUGUCUGUGAUAAUGCCUGUAUAAUUUAUUUGGGAAACGUGUUUUCUCCCUACGGUGAUUCAUAGUACAUAGAGAUCAUUCAUAGGGCGUUGAGAUAUCUUUCUGCUCCGUUUGAAUGCUGAGUUGGUCUUCCAAUGGUUUUAACGUUGCAAUUCUACCCGGUUUGUAGCACAUAUUGUGGGACUGCAAGUACGGAGGGAUAUUCUUUCUUUUGAGUUGGUUUUGACUAUUUCGUACGAAUUUAAAUUCCCAGCAAAACAAAUUUAACUGGAGCAUCGUGGAUCAGAAGGAGAACUCUCUCUGGAGUUACGAGCACGUUCCAAAUACACAUUUUAAAGAAGCCCAGACCUGACCACGGGAUGAAUUGCGGGCAAAGGCUCACCAGGCUACAUAAAAGAUGGAGAACUUCUGUAACUGCCCUUAAACACGUACAAACCACUAUUAAAUCCGGAGGUUGUUCACUGUUAGCUACACCGCGUUCACACGGUUUAAAACAAGAAUGGAGACUGUCUUGACAAUAUGCGGACUCGUACACGUUGCUGCAGGAAUCUUGUCUUCACCCUGAUUACUGUAUAUCUAAUUUGUUAUUGCUGUUAAUGUAUAGUUAUGACUGAUAAUAUACAUAUAUAUAUACUUU